ACUCAAAUGAAUAGACGGGGGCCCGCACAAGCGGUGGAGCAUGUGGUUCAAUUCGAAGCAACGCGCAGAACCUUACCAGCCCUUGACAUGUCCCGUAUGGACUGUGGAGACGCAGUCCUUCAGUUCGGCUGGCGGGAACACAGGUGCUGCAUGGCUGUCGUCAGCUCGUGUCGUGAGAUGUUGGGUUAAGUCCCGCAACGAGCGCAACCCUCACCUUCAGUUGCCAUCGGGUUAAGCUGGGCACUCUGAAGGAACCGCCGGUGACAAGCCGGAGGAAGGCGGGGAUGACGUCAAGUCCUCAUGGCCCUUAUGGGCUGGGCUACACACGUGCUACAAUGGCGGUGACAAUGGGACGCGAUGGAGCGAUCCGGAGCCAAUCUCAAAAAGCCGUCUCAGUUCAGAUUGCACUCUGCAACUCGAGUGCAUGAAGGUGGAAUCGCUAGUAAUCGUGGAUCAGCACGCCACGGUGAAUACGUUCCCGGGCCUUGUACACACCGCCCGU
RNAcentral lists this ribosomal RNA (502 nucleotides) under uncultured bacterium. Its description in RNAcentral is "partial 16S ribosomal RNA". It matches the Rfam family "Bacterial small subunit ribosomal RNA", at positions 899 to 1397 of the family's 1533-position model. The record is from RNAcentral.